This 303-nucleotide long non-coding RNA is filed under the name Capsella rubella. RNAcentral describes it as "long non-coding RNA (CRUB_LNC005045)". Lineage: Eukaryota; Viridiplantae; Streptophyta; Magnoliopsida; Brassicales; Brassicaceae. The record is from RNAcentral.
GUGGUUACAAUUUUUUUUUUACAAUUUGCAUUUAAAUGAAAAAUGUUUAUAUGCUUCAAUUAAUAUGUUUGUAUUAAUUAAAUAAAAUGUUUAUGUGCUUUAAUUAAUAUGUUUGUUCUUUUUUAUAUUUUUCAUUUUUAUCUUCAAUGUUUUUUUUGGUUAUUAAUAAUUUAGCAUUUCGAUAUAUGUCACAUCAAAACUCUCACAUAACUAGUUUUGUUUAAGUGGUGCCUCUAGAACGUGGCAUCCGAUAGGAUGGUUCACACAAAACGAACGAACCAAUUACGUAUGCCUAGCUAAAAU